GAAAUACGGAGGGGGCAAGCGUUAAUCGGAAUUACUGGGCGUAAAGCGCACGCAGGCGGUCUGUCAAGUCGGAUGUGAAAUCCCCGGGCUCAACCUGGGAACUGCAUUCGAAACUGGCUGGCUGGAGUCUUGUAGAGGGGGGUAGAAUUCCAGGUGGAGCGGGGAAAUGCGUAGAGAUCUGGAGGAAUACCGGGGCGAAGGCGGCCCCCUGGACAAAGACUGACGCUCAGGUGCGAAAGCGUGGGGAGCAAACAGGAUUAGAUACCCUGGUAGUCCACGCCGUCCUCUUUAAAAAAUUUGGAGGUUGUGCCCUUGAGGGCGUGGGCUUU
Molecule: ribosomal RNA, 329 nt
Filed under: Enterobacter cloacae
Lineage: Bacteria; Pseudomonadati; Pseudomonadota; Gammaproteobacteria; Enterobacterales; Enterobacteriaceae
Description: bacterial SSU rRNA
Rfam family: Bacterial small subunit ribosomal RNA
Source: RNAcentral